AUACGGAGGGUGCAAGCGUUAUCCGGAAUCAUUGGGUUUAAAGGGUCCGUAGGCGGGCAAUUAAGUCAGAGGUGAAAUCCCACAGCUCAACUGUGGAACUGCCUUUGAUACUGGUUGUCUUGAGUUAUAGUGAGGUAGAUAGAAUGUGUAGUGUAGCGGUGAAAUGCAUAGAUAUUACACAGAAUACCGAUUGCGAAGGCAGUCUACUAACUGUUGACUGACGCUAAUGGACGAAAGCGUGGGGAGCGAACAGGAUUAGAAACCCUUGUAGUCC
Molecule: ribosomal RNA, 274 nt
Filed under: uncultured bacterium
Lineage: Bacteria
Description: partial 16S ribosomal RNA
Rfam family: Bacterial small subunit ribosomal RNA
Source: RNAcentral